AGUGAACGCUGGCGGUAGGCCUAACACAUGCAAGUCGAACGGCAGCACAGUAAGAGCUUGCUCUUACGGGUGGCGAGUGGCGGACGGGUGAGGAAUACAUCGGAAUCUACUUUUUCGUGGGGGAUAACGUAGGGAAACUUACGCUAAUACCGCAUACGACCUACGGGUGAAAGCAGGGGAUCUUCGGACCUUGCGCGAUUGAAUGAGCCGAUGUCGGAUUAGCUAGUUGGCGGGGUAAAGGCCCACCAAGGCGACGAUCCGUAGCUGGUCUGAGAGGAUGAUCAGCCACCCUGGAACUGAGACACGGUCCAGACUCCUACGGGAAGCAGCAGUGGGGAAUAUUGGACAAUGGGCGCAAGCCUGAUCCAGCCAUACCGCGUGGGUGAAGAAGGCCUUCGGGUUGUAAAGCCCUUUUGUUGGGAAAGAAAAGCAGCAGGUUAAUACCCCGCUGUUCUGACGGUACCCAAAGAAUAAGCACCGGCUAACUUCGUG
Molecule: ribosomal RNA, 492 nt
Filed under: uncultured bacterium
Lineage: Bacteria
Description: partial 16S ribosomal RNA
Rfam family: Bacterial small subunit ribosomal RNA
Source: RNAcentral